Long non-coding RNA from Homarus americanus (American lobster), 2590 nucleotides. RefSeq lists it as uncharacterized. The transcript is spliced from 2 exons. NCBI's taxonomy places the organism in Eukaryota, Metazoa, Arthropoda, Malacostraca, Decapoda, Nephropidae. The record is from RefSeq and is a predicted model, not a curated record.
AAAAAAUUUUGGUACCCUUACUGCAUGAUACAAUAUGACACGGGUGCCAAAUAAUUUGUUAGUGGGUGUACAACUUACCUAAAAUUAAUGAAACUUAGUACAGUAUACUGUUAGCAGCUGGAAAGUUCAAUGUCUUUCAAAUGCAGCAGUACAAUAUAUAUAAAGCAUAGUGUUUGUAAGUGGCUAAAAUUUGGCAUAGAAUUGGGUUUUGCUUUUGUAAAUAAUACCGAGAAUCCUUACAAAUGUCUAAAUUGUGAGGGUGGAGAUCAGCCUAACAGUGCAUGACCACAGUUUUUAACAGAGCUGAAAAUUGGUAUGGUUAUUCUUUGCUUGUGCACUUAAUUUUACCCAAGGGCAGACAUAUGGUACAUAGACUCUGAGCUGCUCUUCUAAUUCUAGGCACCCUCUUUAAUAGUGGUGUUUGUGUGUGUGUUUUAUUAUGUUGGUGUUAACUCCUCCGUAACAUAGAGAUGAAGUGUGGUGUGGUUAUGUAAACAGCUCUGAGAAGACAAGGCCAGAUACCUGAGCUAGUUUUCUAUUAUGUUAAACAGAAAAAUCAACAAAAUUAAACAAAGGCCAAUCCAAAUUAUGUUUCAAUAAAAAAUAAGACUGGGUGUAUAAGUGAUACAGGAGUAAACUUAGCAUUAAACUGACAACCAUAAACUCACACAAAAACUUGACUAAAAAUCCAAGCUUUCGUAACAACACACCAUGAUGUCAACCUUCACAGAUCUGAGAAACAAAACCAGACAUUACUGUUAUCUGCAAUGAAGUAUCGAGCAAGGUUAAAGUGAUGUCUAGCAUAAAACUCACCGCACCUGCCCACUACCCACACUUUCUCUCCUAGUGCUCGAGUUGACAAUCAUCACAACCACAGUCGCCUCUCUUGGUCCCCCAGCUAGUUAUCAAUAUGGCCAAGUCUAAUAUCUUUCCUGUCAUAGUCCUCCUGUUAAUUAUGGUCGUGAACACCGUUGAUGUGGACGCCUUGUGUAAAGACAGCUAUAACUGCAGUACAGCUGGGAAUUUCCCCCAGUGUGAUGACUACUGCAUGAGUCAUUUCUUUCAUUGCUCUUAUGACCAUAUUGGGAAGUUUGCAGAGCUGUGGCCAUGCCAGUUUGGAUUGGUGUUUGACACAAAUCCUAACAACCCUUACUGCACUCUACCCUCAAACUGCUCAAUCCCCACAACCCCGGCCCCUGACUGUUUGCCUUCCUGCACCUGCACACAAGUGGGUGCAUUCGCCAAGUGCCCCUAUGCAUGCAACCCGAAUUACUACUACUGUGCAAUAACCUCCGGACCAGGACAAGAAAUGACUUGUCCUACUAGUUACACCUUUGACUAUAGCACUCUUAACUGUGUCUUGACGGCAAAUUGUGUCUGAGACCCCUGAGCCUGUUAGUUGCAAGUCCCUCUUUUUCCCCACCCACUCACACCAACCAUUACUGAAUUUACUGACCAUCCACGAGGCCCAAACCAAUUUUGAGUUCUACAAUAAUCUCCUUAACCACUUGAGAGUUCUGCAAUAACAUCCUCAACCAUUCAUGAGCUCUGUAAUCUCCAAUUAUUAUCAAUAGUCUACAACAAUAUCCCCAACCAUCCAGAAACUCUUACAGUAUCAUACCCAACCAUCCAGGAACAACACGAUAACAUCCUCAAUCACCCAGGAGCUCUGUGACCUAGAGUUUUACAGUUACCAUCCUUGAGUUCUGCCAUUACCUCCUCCCCAUGACUCCCAACCUUCUGUGACAAUAUACCAUUACCAUUCCUGACAUCCCUAACAGUAUCCCUGAUGUUCCUUUGGCCUUCUACAAGCAAAUCCAGACCACAACUAUUCCUUCCAAACUCCCUCACAAAAAAAAAUCCCAUCUUAAAUCACUCUUACAAAUAUAUAUACUGUACUGUACUGUAUAUUUACAGCACUUUUUGAUGGGUAGAGGUCACUAGACUUUCCACCAGGAAUACUAUGUCUAACUGACCAAGAUAUUAAUUUUUAGACCUAAAAUUCACUCAGAAAUUAUUCAAUGAGCUUGGAAUAUACAGUACUGUAUAUAUUUGUAAAUUUUAUUCUAUACAGUAGUCUUUUCCUGUGUAUGUAAUGUCUGUUUGUUAUCAAGGAGAAGACAUGGAUUCCUUUUUAAAGUCUGAAAAUGUCUGCCAUUACAUCUCAUGAUUUGUAUCUGGAUAUCCCUUUAAAAUAAACCAUAUUGAUAUAUCCUUGCCUCUCUUCUCUGGGUAGAAAAGUAACAUUUGAACCUUUGAGAAUGUAUCUUUGUAUCAUUGCUUGAGUGAGCCAGAUAGAUGCAUCCUUACAUCUCCAGCUCUUACAGGGAAAAUGUAAAAGGCUAGGCCCUAGUUCCAACAUGGUAUUGUACUGUACUGCAUCAUCAUCAUCAUACCAAGUACUAAUAGACUGCCCACAAGAGGAACAAGCAGAGAAACUAUAACCACCAACCAAGGAUUUAGAGAAGCUUCAACAGACAUCAAGACAAACAUAGUUACCUAAACAGACUUUCACUCCCCUAACUCAACAUCUAUGGGACCUGAUCCAAUUUCAUAUCUAUAUGGUGAAAAAUAUAGAAAAUCCAAGUGA